UAUCACAAGUGUGUACCUUUUAUCUUGCACGUGCCUGAAGCCUUGAAUUCCUGUGGUCAACACUCAGAUGCCUUCUCUAAGCUUGUGAGACUGAAUUCACUCUUCUCUUUUUUUUUUUGUUUACUUUUCAGUGUGACUGUCAGCCUCAUCUUGUGUGCCUCUUCAGGGAUCCACCCCUCUUUCUCUGAGUUCCGCUUUCUCCGGCGCCGAGAGAAAUCCUGAGAGACUCUCCAUUCUUCUCAGUACAAAAAUACCCUGGUGAAACUGUCUGCAUUCCUAGUGGUAACAUAAGCAGACCCACCCCGACCAUCACUUCAGAAUAUCAGGUUUUGUGUGAUGCUCCACCCACCGGAACAAAUUGUGGUGCUGUGAGGUCCAUCCCGAAGAGGCCUCUGGGAGGAGGCCAAGCUGACAGCCUGAAGGAGGGGGUCAGCUUUGUGGAACCUGGAGGCCACGGGACAAUGACCUAAUGCAUCUGCUGAUCGGCCAAAAAUAAGAAAAGGGGAACUGCUUUGAGCAACUAACGGUUCUGGAAAGUACCAGAAAUAAUGGCCACGGAAAAGGGAACUGCAGCAAGGCCUGAGGUGACCCUGCUUUGCAGCAAGAAAUGAGGCUUGCUCUAACCCAUAAAAGGUAAAAAAGGCUUGAAGCUUCGUAUGAUUGGAGGGUCCCAUUGGGGUGGGAGACAGAAAGGUUUAAAGGUCGUAAGAACAGAACCUUGGGUGGAACUACUUCAGGGAGGACAAGGCUGAGGACUCGAUAAAGGAGAUAGUCUCACCACCCUGGAUACAGGGUGGAUUUCCCGAGACCUGUCAGGUAAUAACAGGGGAUAGGGUGUGGAGUGCCUUUUCUCCCUUCCGAUGUGCUUGCAGCUAAUGGAUUUGUUAUAAGAUUAUCCGAACAGGUGUUGUUGAUUUUUCUUGUAAUAAAAGGUAACAAUUGGAUUUUA
Molecule: long non-coding RNA, 949 nt
Organism: Alligator mississippiensis (American alligator)
Lineage: Eukaryota; Metazoa; Chordata; Crocodylia; Alligatoridae
Exons: 3
Source: RefSeq, a predicted model, not a curated record